AGCGAACGCUGGCGGCGUGCUUAACACAUGCAAGUCGAACGAGAACGGGUUAUAGCUUGCUAUAAUUGUCAGCUAAGUGGCGCACGGGUGAGUAAUGUAUAGGUAAUAUGCCUCUUACUAAGGGAUAACAAAUGGAAACGUUUGCUAAUACCUUAUACUCCUUAUUAACAGAAGUUAAUAAGGGAAAGAUUUAUUGGUAAGAGAUUAGCCUGUAUUGUAUCAGUUAGUUGGUGGGGUAAUGGCUUACCAAGACUAUGACACAUAACUGGUUUGAGAGGAUGUUCAGUCACACGGGAACUGAGACACGGACCAGACUCUUACGGGAGGGAGCAGUGGGGAAUAUGGCACAAUGGACGAAGGUCUGAGGCAGCAACGCCGCGUGGAGGAUGACACAUUUCGGUGCGUACACUCCUUUGAUAUGAAAAGUUAAUGCCGGUAUUAUCUGCAUAAGCACCGGCGAACUCCGUGCCAGCAGCCGCCGUAA
Molecule: ribosomal RNA, 484 nt
Filed under: uncultured bacterium
Lineage: Bacteria
Description: partial 16S ribosomal RNA
Rfam family: Bacterial small subunit ribosomal RNA
Source: RNAcentral